This 1293-nucleotide ribosomal RNA is filed under the name Rugitermes flavicinctus. RNAcentral describes it as "16S ribosomal RNA". The stretch from base 1044 to 1206 matches the Rfam family "Archaeal large subunit ribosomal RNA", at positions 2542 to 2701 of the family's 2987-position model. Lineage: Eukaryota; Metazoa; Arthropoda; Insecta; Blattodea; Kalotermitidae. The record is from RNAcentral.
UUAUAUUAUUUUAUUUGAAUGUUAUUAUAAUUGUUUAGUAAAUUAUUAUUUUGUUUUUGUAUUUUUAUUGAUUUAAUUAUUUAUAUUAUAGUUUAUUUGUACUGUGAAGGGUUUAAUAAUGGGUUUUUAUAAGUUGGUUUUUUUUACUGUACCUUGUGUAUCAGGGUUUACUAAUUUUUAUUAUUUAUUUUUAUUUCCCGAUUUUGGAGGAGUUAAUUACUUAAUUUAGUUACUGUUUUAUUAGUAUUAAUAAUAAGUAAUUGGUAAUGAAAUGUUAUUCGUUUCUGGAGAUAUCUGGUUUCCUGAGAAAUAAAUUUAAUUUAUGUUUCUGGUAUAAUUAUUCUGUAUAUUUUGUUUUGUUUUACUUGAUGUAAAGGUGCUGGGGGAUAAGCUUUGGUUCUUAAUUUUAUAAUAUUAUAUUUAUGGGUUUGUUGUGGGCUUUAUGUUGGCUAUCUAUUUGAGUAUGUUAAAAUUUUUUUCCUUUAUAUUUUUAUUUAUGUUUUAUUUAAUUUUUUAUUAGGUUGUUUGGUUUAAUUUUGUAUCUUUUGUAUUUUUGGUUGAAUUAGUAUAUUUUAAUUGUAUUAUUGAUUUUAUUUAUUUUUAAAAUUUAAUAGAGUAAUUAGGCAAAAUUAUUAGUGCUCGCCUGUUUAACAAAAACAUCUCUUCUUGUUGAAUUUUUCGAAGUAUAACCUGCCCACUGAUUUUUGAAGGGCCGCGGUAUUUUGACCGUGCAAAGGUAGCAUAGUCAUUAGUUUUCUAAUUGUGAACUGGUAUGAAUGGCUUGACGAGGUACUUACUGUCUUUAUAGAAUUAAUUUUAUUGAAUUUGGUUUUUGGGUAAAAAAACUUAAAUUUUUUUAUGGGACGAGAAGACCCUAUAGAGUUUUAUAUAAUUUAUUUCUAUUUUUGUUUGACUUAUUUUAUUGAAUUUCUUUAUAUUUUGUUGGGGUGAUGGGAGAGUAAAUUUAACCUUUCUUUUUUUUUAUUACUUAUUUGUAAAUUUUUGAUCCUUUACUAUUGAUUAUAAGAUUAAAUUACCUUAGGGAUAACAGCGUAAUCUUUUUAGAGAGUUCUUAUUGACAUAAAGGUUUGCGACCUCGAUGUUGGAUUAAGAUGAAUUUUUGGUGUAGAGGCUAAAAUUUUUAUUAGGUCUGUUCGACCUUUAAAAUCUUACAUGAUCUGAGUUCAAACCGGCGUGAGCCAGGUUGGUUUCUAUCUAUAUUUUUAUAGAAUUUCUUAGUACGAGAGGACCAGAAAUUUGGGAUAAUUCUUUUCUUAUGAAUUUCAUUAAUUU